This 70-nucleotide transfer RNA is filed under the name Zenarchopterus buffonis (Buffon's river-garfish). RNAcentral describes it as "tRNA-Ile". It matches the Rfam family "tRNA". Rfam says of the family: Transfer RNA (tRNA) molecules are approximately 80 nucleotides in length. Their secondary structure includes four short double-helical elements and three loops (D, anti-codon, and T loops). Lineage: Eukaryota; Metazoa; Chordata; Actinopteri; Beloniformes; Zenarchopteridae. The record is from RNAcentral.
GGAACUGUGCCUGAAGCAAAGGACCACUUUGAUAGAGUGAAUUAUGAAAGUUAAAUUCUUUCCAGCUCCU